UUCACACACUCAUUUUAAACAAAAAUGUCCCGACACAGAGGAGAGCUCAAGAACCCUAGAAAUCGGCCGACACUAAUCCACCGUCGUUCCUCGGCCUGCUAUGUUUGUCGUUCCUUUUGCUGGCUUCCCGCUUCUAGAUAUCUAUUGGAAGAACGAGCAUCGUUUGAUGUGUACAGGCGAGAUCUGCACUGCUGCCGAGAGAGAUCGUUAUGAGAAAGUCGUAAUUAUCUCUUUCCCUUAAUCAUUUGUUUUUAUGAUUAUUUAUUAAAUUGCACCUUCAAUUAUUUGAAAUGUUGAUGUGCCUGUUAUGAGUAUGUGCCCGAAUUUCUAAUUGGGGGCUUAGAUGUGCUCUUAUUAGUUGAUUGAAUUGAUUUUGUUUUGGAGUUUGUGAUUUUAGCUUAUAAAUGGCUGUGUGAACUUAGAACUUGUAUAUUUGCGGUGAGUUUAAGGUCAUCAUCAAGUCUGGAAUCAAAAGGAUCAAGUAUAGAGAUGUUAUGUAGGAAUGUCAUAUGGCCAAAGGAAGGGGGAGGAUUUGUUAAUGGGAAUGGUGGAAAGACAGCUGAUCCAUCAGAUUUGGUGAGUAAACCAUGGAGGCCACUCACCCGCAAAUUAAAGAUACCAGCUGCUGUUAUCAGCCCAUACAGUCACGUUUUGGGCAGGAGUGCAGGAGAAGGGAGUAUCUUUGCAAUUCCUCGCCGUUCCAAGAGAUGGAGAAGGAUUUUGACUCCACAAUUAAAAGGGAGUGCAUCAUUUGUCUGUAUAAUUUACACCUCACUGCUGCAAGUUGUCUGUGUUCGCCAGGAAAGUAUUCUUGUUUGCAACAUGCAAAGCAGCUUUGUUCUUGUUCUUGGAGUGAUCGAGUUUUUUAUUUUCGUUAUAAGAUUCAUGACUUGUACCUUCUUGGUGAAGCUUUGGAAGGAAGUCCAGGUGCAGUUUAGUGACAAAAAAAAAAAAGAAAUCCAGGUGCAGUUUAUAAAUGGGCUUCAGCAAAUCUGAAAAUGAGUAUUGAUUCCAGAGUUCCAUAUGAUGGCUCACCAAGAGCAUCCGUACCUGACAACUUAGUAAAAUCAAAGCACACAGAACCUCGAGAACAUAAUCCAUCUGCAGCACGAGCCUCAGAUAAGCUGAAAGAUGGAGGAAACAUAACUUUAGGGAUGAACACGAGGUGCUUACACUAGAAGAAAAGAAGGAAUAACUGGAUAAAGAUAUUGUAAGAGAAACAGAGUUUUGAAAAUGGACAUCUAAAAGGGCAGGGAGUACUAGACAAGUGUUGCACCCUCACAUAAUACAGUUUAUGAACAAUGUUUUGAUUUUGAGAAAUUCUAGACCAGCCCGGGGACCUGGAAUGUCUGGGUCCGUUCAUUCAUAUUCUUUGACAAAAGUUGGAAUUAAAGAAGUAGGUAUAUAUCUUAUUACUUAUUCUUUUUUGUGAAAAGAUCGAGAUUGUUUCAAAGAUCUGUAUUGUCUGUUUAGAGAAAAAUUAUAUAUGUUAAAUUACAUUC
Long non-coding RNA from Daucus carota subsp. sativus, 1502 nucleotides. RefSeq lists it as uncharacterized. The record is from RefSeq and is a predicted model, not a curated record. Lineage: Eukaryota; Viridiplantae; Streptophyta; Magnoliopsida; Apiales; Apiaceae. The transcript has 5 exons.